RNAcentral lists this unclassified non-coding RNA (340 nucleotides) under uncultured fungus. Its description in RNAcentral is "partial contains 5.8S ribosomal RNA, internal transcribed spacer 2, and large subunit ribosomal RNA". The stretch from base 1 to 52 matches the Rfam family "5.8S ribosomal RNA", at positions 103 to 154 of the family's 154-position model. Lineage: Eukaryota; Fungi. The record is from RNAcentral.
AACGCAACUUGCACCCUUUGGUAUUCCGAAGGGUACGUCUGUUUGAGCGUCGUGAAAAUCUCAACUUGUUUGCUUUCUUCUGUAAUGAGAAAGUGGAUAAGCUUGGACUUUGGAGGCAUGCCAGACCCUGAGUUUAGCUCCUCUUGAAUGCAUUAGCGAAGACCCUUUGCCAUCGCCUUGACGUGAUAAUUAUCGUCUACGUCUAAUCGGCCUGGCUCUGAUCGGAAUUGCUGUCUAAUUGUCGCAUUAGGCUGACAACCGCUUGCAAGUCCUUUUUUGAAAGGAACCGUAAAAAAUCAAACUAGACCUCAAAUCAGAUGGGACUACCCGCUGAACUUAA